GGCGACCGGCGCACGGGUGAGUAACGCGUAUGCAACUUGCCUAUCAGAGGGGGAUAACCCGGCGAAAGUCGGACUAAUACCGCAUGAAGCAGGGGCCCCGCAUGGGGAUAUUUGCUAAAGAUUCAUCGCUGAUAGAUAGGCAUGCGUUCCAUUAGGCAGUUGGCGGGGUAACGGCCCACCAAACCGACGAUGGAUAGGGGUUCUGAGAGGAAGGUCCCCCACAUUGGUACUGAGACACGGACCAAACUCCUACGGGAGGCAGCAGUGAGGAAUAUUGGUCAAUGGCCGAGAGGCUGAACCAGCCAAGUCGCGUGAGGGAUGAAGGUUCUAUGGAUCGUAAACCUCUUUUAUAAGGGAAUAAAGUGCGGGACGUGUCCCGUUUUGUAUGUACCUUAUGAAUAAGGAUCGGCUAACUCCGUGCCAGCAGCCGCGGUAAUACGGAGGAUCCGAGCGUUAUCCGGAUUUAUUGGGUUUAAAGGGUGCGUAGGCGGCCUUUUAAGUCAGCGGUGAAAGUCUGUGGCUCAACCAUAGAAUUGCCGUUGAAACUGGGGGGCUUGAGUAUGUUUGAGGCAGGCGGAAUGCGUGGUGUAGCGGUGAAAUGCAUAGAUAUCACGCAGAACCCCGAUUGCGAAGGCAGCCUGCCAAGCCAUUACUGACGCUGAUGCACGAAAGCGUGGGGAUCAAACAGGAUUAGAUACCCUGGUAGUCCACGCAGUAAACGAUGAUCACUAGCUGUUUGCGAUACACUGUAAGCGGCACAGCGAAAGCGUUAAGUGAUCCACCUGGGGAGUACGCCGGCAACGGUGAAACUCAAAGGAAUUGACGGGGGCCCGCACAAGCGGAGGAACAUGUGGUUUAAUUCGAUGAUACGCGAGGAACCUUACCCGGGUUUGAACGCAUUCGGACCGAGGUGGAAACACCUUUUCUAGCAAUAGCCGUUUGCGAGGUGCUGCAUGGUUGUCGUCAGCUCGUGCCGUGAGGUGUCGGCUUAAGUGCCAUAACGAGCGCAACCCUUGCCACUAGUUACUAACAGGUAAAGCUGAGGACUCUGGUGGGACUGCCAGCGUAAGCUGCGAGGAAGGCGGGGAUGACGUCAAAUCAGCACGGCCCUUACAUCCGGGGCGACACACGUGUUACAAUGGCGUGGACAAAGGGAAGCCACCUGGCGACAGGGAGCGAAUCCCCAAACCACGUCUCAGUUCGGAUCGGAGUCUGCAACCCGACUCCGUGAAGCUGGAUUCGCUAGUAAUCGCGCAUCAGCCAUGGCGCGGUGAAUACGUUCCCGGGCCUUGUACACACCGCCCGUCAAGCCAUGGGAGCCGGGGGUACCUGAAGUCCGUAACCGCGAGGAUCGGCCUAGGGUAAAACUGGUGACUGGGGCUAAGUCGUAACAAGGUAGCCGUACCGGAAGGUGCGGCUG
RNAcentral lists this ribosomal RNA (1420 nucleotides) under gut metagenome. RNAcentral's name for it is "bacterial SSU rRNA". It matches the Rfam family "Bacterial small subunit ribosomal RNA". The record is from RNAcentral.